AGUAAAAAAAAGUGAUUGCGUUGUUAUGGCUUGCUUAUUGGAGACAACACAAUAAAACCAUUUGUAUAUUUUCUUUAGUUCAGGAACUGGAGGAGGGCCUAGCAAGCGGGUCCAUUACACCCAUUAUGAGGAGCUGCUGCUGCCAUUUAUACACCGGGAAAGCGUGCGAGGUGUCUCCGGCACCUUCGAUACAGAUCGGAAUGUUGGCCAAGAUUCAUCUCCACCUGGGCCGAGCAGACGCAGACAAACGGCAUCUGCUCCCGUUCCAGGUGUACGCUCCUUUAGAGAGGGAUUUAGUGGGGAGGAAAGCGAAAGAGGGCCUUGUUCUCAGAUGAGGAGCCGGCCAAUGUUCCCCAGCAGCAGCAGCUCCCAACCCAGGCCCAACCCAGGCCCCAACCCCAGGCCUCCAAGCCCAGGCCCAAAAAGAUAGGUUCCACAAAACACUGAUAAAGCACCACAAAAUAUUGAUGCGCUAACUAAAUGUCUUCCAUGCCGACUUGUGUGUGGCCACUCAGGCCUUCAAUGACGCUCAGGCACACCAGGCUGCACAUGAGUCGGCAAUGUGAAGGCACGAGGCUGCCAUGUUGAGCCUGGAGGAGGAGAAGGUAGAGCUGAAAAGGCAAAAAGUGUCUCUGUUGGCGGAACAAAAUGCUCUACUAAGAGAACAAGUUGCUGCCCUCAAGCAACAGGACCAAAAGCCAACAGAGCCCAUAAGCUCUACCAGCGCAGCUCUCCCUCCUCCAGUCUCAACGAGGCAGCUUCGGAAGCGCAAAUGAAUUGGGCACGGUGCAAUUAGUGUUUUGUGGAACCUAUGUUUUCUUUGUCCUAUGUUUUGUUUUUGCUUUCUUUUUUGUUCUA
This is a long non-coding RNA of Xenopus tropicalis (tropical clawed frog), 858 nucleotides long. RefSeq lists it as uncharacterized. NCBI's taxonomy places the organism in Eukaryota, Metazoa, Chordata, Amphibia, Anura, Pipidae. The transcript has 3 exons. The record is from RefSeq and is a predicted model, not a curated record.